This 58-nucleotide transfer RNA is filed under the name Salmo salar (Atlantic salmon). It matches the Rfam family "tRNA", at positions 8 to 63 of the family's 71-position model. Rfam says of the family: Transfer RNA (tRNA) molecules are approximately 80 nucleotides in length. Their secondary structure includes four short double-helical elements and three loops (D, anti-codon, and T loops). Lineage: Eukaryota; Metazoa; Chordata; Actinopteri; Salmoniformes; Salmonidae. The record is from Rfam by way of RNAcentral.
UGGCUCAGUUGGUAUAUCAUGGUGCUUGUAACGCCAAGGUUGUGGGUUCGAUUCCCAC